AGUCAAUCAGGAAUCACCUGAUGCGCAGCAGUUUGGUGGCAGCAGUGGGAUCCAAAGGAGACACCUGAUGGCUUCGAGGAUGAGAAACACAGUCAUUGGUACCCUCAAAACCUUUGAGUUCUCCAUCUUUUUCACUGUUUCUGAGGGCUGUGGCGUCAGCUGCAGAGCUCCAGCCAGCGGCAGAAGCAGAGCAGUGGGCAGUGGUGGAGGUAGAGCUGGCUCCAGCUCCGUUGACACCUCCUCCUCUAGCGCUGGAGUCAGCGUCCCCUCCAUCAGCAGUGUUGGAGCUGGAGCAAGGGCCAACAUGGGCUCCAGCAGGAGUGGGAGCUGCUGAGCUGGAGUCACCUGGACCAUCAUUUCUAGUGAGAAGUCCAUCUCCACCUGUGGCUCUUAAGGAGGGUGAGAAGCUUAAUCUCACGGCCUUCCCUCUUAAG
This is a long non-coding RNA of Diceros bicornis minor, 434 nucleotides long. RefSeq lists it as uncharacterized. Lineage: Eukaryota; Metazoa; Chordata; Mammalia; Perissodactyla; Rhinocerotidae. The transcript is spliced from 3 exons. The record is from RefSeq and is a predicted model, not a curated record.